RNAcentral lists this long non-coding RNA (602 nucleotides) under Fragaria vesca (wild strawberry). Its description in RNAcentral is "long non-coding RNA (FVES_LNC003661)". The record is from RNAcentral. Lineage: Eukaryota; Viridiplantae; Streptophyta; Magnoliopsida; Rosales; Rosaceae.
UGUCCCUUCCCAUACUGUACUAACGACAAGUCGCUCGGAAUUUCCACAACUUGAUUCAACUAAAGUGGGCAGAGGCUAUGAGGACCAGGUAAACACUACUGAUCUAAAUAAAAUCUCUUUCAUGGCUUCAGUUACAAGUGCUCCGAUGCUCUAUCAUUGUUUAGUUAGCUGUAUUAUGAGAGUCGGUAUGGCACUAAUCGAUUCUGGGCUUGUUCUUAUUUUAAUAAUAUACACUGCAUCAGUUGCUCAGCAGCUCAGGCCAAGAAAGUACCCAUAUUACAAAUGCAGGCUGCUGGGUUAUGAAAAGUAUAAUUCUCAAUGUGACAUGUAACCAUUCUAUAACUUCGGGCAGAAUAGUUACAUCAACCAUGAUUACAUAAACUUGAAUACUUGAUGAUAAUUUUUGUUACCUUAAUGUUCUUAAGUGUGCAUACACUAUAAAAAAAUUAUACACAUCACUCUAACUCAGCAAUUGGUUCCAGUUGAAGGUUUAAUCUUCUGGCAGGUGUGCUUGCACUUGUUCCUGCAGGACCUUGAGAGGCAAAAGGAUUUGGAGGCAUAGUCAAGUUUUCUCCUCCUUCCAACAUCUGAACCACCCCUUU